RNAcentral lists this ribosomal RNA (534 nucleotides) under Clavispora sp. RNAcentral's name for it is "partial large subunit ribosomal RNA". It matches the Rfam family "Eukaryotic large subunit ribosomal RNA", at positions 50 to 653 of the family's 3401-position model. The record is from RNAcentral. Lineage: Eukaryota; Fungi; Ascomycota; Pichiomycetes; Serinales; Metschnikowiaceae.
GCGGAGGAAAAGAAACCAACAGGGAUUGCCCCAGUAACGGCGAGUGAAGCGGCAAAAGCUCAAAUUUGAAAUCCUGCGGGAAUUGUAAUUUGAAGGUUUCGUGGUCUGAGUCGGCCGCGCCCAAGUCCAUUGGAACAUGGCGCCUGGGAGGGUGAGAGCCCCGUAUGGCGCACGCCGACUCUUUGCACCGCGGCUCCGACGAGUCGAGUUGUUUGGGAAUGCAGCUCUAAGUGGGUGGUAAAUUCCAUCUAAAGCUAAAUAUUGGCGAGAGACCGAUAGCGAACAAGUACAGUGAUGGAAAGAUGAAAAGCACUUUGAAAAGAGAGUGAAACAGCACGUGAAAUUGUUGAAAGGGAAGGGCUUGCAAGCAGACACGGUUUUACCGGGCCAGCGUCGAAAAGGGGGGAGGAACAAGAACUCGAGAAUGUGGCGCGCACCUUCGGGCGCGCGUGUUAUAGCUCGUGUUGACGCCUCCAUCCCUUUUCGAGGCCUGCGAUUCUAGGACGCUGGCGUAAUGGUUGCAAGCCGCCCGUC